AUGAAUUUAAAUAAAACACAUUUACCAAAUUUAUUUCUGGUCUUUUCUUUUACGUAUUUUUCUUGUUGAUCACUCCACCUCCGUACGCUGCCAAGUCCCAAUCGAAAAAGAAAGAAGCUUCCUUGGGUCACCGGCCGGCUUGGCUUGGAUUCGCCUCCAUCAUCAAAUUUGACUUCCAGCGGGCACCAACAAAACAUAUGGUGGUAGCCAUAAUUGUCAAUUGGUGUCAGCUGGCUGUCUCUUUCGUUGACAGAGGCGAAUUAAAACCAUCAGAUGGCGCUGGCGGUCUUCUAUCCGCUAACAGAUGUCGCUAGGGUCGCACAUUAGGCCGCACACUACAAACCAAACCAUCCUUUGAACAUCACUGUUAAAGGAUGGGAGGGAGAAAAAUAACAAUUUCUCUCAGUGUAUUCCAUGCCAUAAAGUGUAUAUGCUCCUUACGCCAAACCUAUCUCACUGUGUGUAGGUCCCAUUAAUAAUGUGUAAGUCUUCCUCAACUAGUAUACCUUGAGUUAACCAUUUUUAUACCUUACGGAUAUACCUUCAUCAAAUUAAUUGGAAGCAAUUGCAGCAGACGGACGACGCGGGAAAUAAUUUUCACCAACAAAGCAAAAAAAAAGGAAACCCACGUCAUGGACCUGCGAACUCGCAACGGCUGCCUCGCUUGAGAGCAUGAGCCAUGCCAUUUGUGGUCUAACGCUGUGGUGUGCCCAAGAUAAACGAACUGGUAAGUAUCAAAUAGAUGGUGCACCUUGGUGUAUCCUCUAUGACUUCUCCUAGCCGCCUCUCAUCACUCACCACGGCAUCCCUCGCCCCAUGUCCAAGAUGCCAUAGCGAUAGAAAGACGGGUCGACCCGACAUACACCGAGGUCGUCAAGAGGCUCUACCGUGGUUGAGUGAUCUCCUGGGGCCGGCAUCGAGAGAUGACAAUCUCUCGUCCGGACAAAACGCCUUCCGCCGCAACUCGCGUUCCAUGUCCAAGAUGCCAUAGUGAUAGAAAGACGGGUCACCCAUUGCGAGGUUGACAGCGAGCUCUCCGGCGGUCGAGGCACCCCAGAGGUUGGCAGAGAGAAGUAGCACGAAUCAGCGCGUAAUCUUGCGCACAUCACACCACGGGACCCCUCUUGGCGGUUCAGCACUCGCGAGAGCGUAAGACCACGAGUCCACUCCAACAACCUCACCUGGACCAUACGGGUCAUCUUAUGCUACAGUUUACCACAAGACGACGGCUGUUCUACAGCUUGUUCCUUACUGCUAUAGAGAUCCCUGGGACUUAAUUCCUCUGCUAUCUAUCACAGGGUACAACUAAAACUAACUAAACCUACAUUAGACCAUGGCUUAAUAUUGGAAACUCCCAGCUACGGAAAUGGAAUUUCAGGUUCGUAUCCAAAAUAUGUUAUCACGGAUGGGGUUAGUGACUUACAGCUGCGGCUUCAUAAACAGUUGAUAAAAAUUGGCAAUUCCACACAUAACAGGUGUCUAUAUUGUCCAUUGCUGUUGAUUGGUAAUUGGGAUCGUGACUGCUGCCUUCGGACUGUGCUCCAUGGCGACUACAUAAAGCUUUGCAAGUCUUUACCAUGUAGGACUCACAGGAGCUAGGAUUUAAAUUUAUUCGGAAUCGGACGGACAGGCAGAAAGUCAUAAUUUGGGCUAUUGGCUUUAAAACUAUUGUGGAAGAAGGUGGAAAGUGUCUACCAUUGUCUCCCGAGGAAGUCGCAUGGCUCAUCUGGACUCACAGCCACUUCGACACCAGACUUACUUCCCAUGGAGGCUUUGGACGACACUCUGUUAAUACAAAGUAUCAGUGCCUCUUCAAGCUUAGACGUCGCACUCGACUAGCUUGUCUUAUAAUCAAACUGCUGUCGGGACUUACGCAAAACAUCGAAGAAAACCACAAACACAAAUAUUAACAGCCACACAAUUGAAACGGUCAACCCGAUUGCUCGGGCCCCAUGUUGCGGGCGCCAUUUUUUGUCGUGUACCCAAGGGUCCACGUUGCCGUUGGAGUGAGGAGUCGGACUGGCGGGCGCUGGUCGCUGGCAUUCGAGCACCGGCUUUUGGCUCAGUCUUUGGGGCGCGGUUCUUUGCCAAUCCAACCCUCUGGCAAGGUGACAAAAAAAACAAAAUAAACAACCAGCUGUCGGUGGUACGAAACGGACGACAAUAGAACAUUAACAAAACACCCACUGGAACGAACUGGAGGACAUUACGGCUGUGGAAUUGCCUGGCGCCUAAAAUCCUUCAUGGCGCCUCAGGACUUUGCCCACCCCAACCAUGGCACCCCUCGUCCUGUAAUAUUAAGGGUACCCCGUAAUCCAUCACCUGUCUAUCUUUGCCGCUGCUCAGUCACUUACCCCAUAUUCCGAUGCUUUAGCCUUCCAUCAUCCUUUAGAAA
Molecule: RNA transcript, 2395 nt
Organism: Stomoxys calcitrans (stable fly)
Lineage: Eukaryota; Metazoa; Arthropoda; Insecta; Diptera; Muscidae
Exons: 6
Source: RefSeq, a predicted model, not a curated record